Molecule: ribosomal RNA, 1057 nt
Filed under: Salmonella enterica subsp. enterica serovar Typhimurium
Lineage: Bacteria; Pseudomonadati; Pseudomonadota; Gammaproteobacteria; Enterobacterales; Enterobacteriaceae
Description: bacterial SSU rRNA
Rfam family: Bacterial small subunit ribosomal RNA
Source: RNAcentral
UGCAAGUCGAACGGUAACAGGAAGCAGCUUGCUGCUUCGCUGACGAGUGGCGGACGGGUGAGUAAUGUCUGGGAAACUGCCUGAUGGAGGGGGAUAACUACUGGAAACGGUGGCUAAUACCGCAUAACGUCGCAAGACCAAAGAGGGGGACCUUCGGGCCUCUUGCCAUCAGAUGUGCCCAGAUGGGAUUAGCUAGUUGGUGAGGUAACGGCUCACCAAGGCGACGAUCCCUAGCUGGUCUGAGAGGAUGACCAGCCACACUGGAACUGAGACACGGUCCAGACUCCUACGGGAGGCAGCAGUGGGGAAUAUUGCACAAUGGGCGCAAGCCUGAUGCAGCCAUGCCGCGUGUAUGAAGAAGGCCUUCGGGUUGUAAAGUACUUUCAGCGGGGAGGAAGGUGUUGUGGUUAAUAACCGCAGCAAUUGACGUUACCCGCAGAAGAAGCACCGGCUAACUCCGUGCCAGCAGCCGCGGUAAUACGGAGGGUGCAAGCGUUAAUCGGAAUUACUGGGCGUAAAGCGCACGCAGGCGGUCUGUCAAGUCGGAUGUGAAAUCCCCGGGCUCAACCUGGGAACUGCAUUCGAAACUGGCAGGCUUGAGUCUUGUAGAGGGGGGUAGAAUUCCAGGUGUAGCGGUGAAAUGCGUAGAGAUCUGGAGGAAUACCGGUGGCGAAGGCGGCCCCCUGGACAAAGACUGACGCUCAGGUGCGAAAGCGUGGGGAGCAAACAGGAUUAGAUACCCUGGUAGUCCACGCCGUAAACGAUGUCUACUUGGAGGUUGUGCCCUUGAGGCGUGGCUUCCGGAGCUAACGCGUUAAGUAGACCGCCUGGGGAGUACGGCCGCAAGGUUAAAACUCAAAUGAAUUGACGGGGGCCCGCACAAGCGGUGGAGCAUGUGGUUUAAUUCGAUGCAACGCGAAGAACCUUACCUGGUCUUGACAUCCACAGAACUUUCCAGAGAUGGAUUGGUGCCUUCGGGAACUGUGAGACAGGUGCUGCAUGGCUGUCGUCAGCUCGUGUUGUGAAAUGUUGGGUUAAGUCCCGCAACGAGCGCAAC